This 329-nucleotide ribosomal RNA is filed under the name uncultured eukaryote. RNAcentral describes it as "partial 18S ribosomal RNA". It matches the Rfam family "Eukaryotic small subunit ribosomal RNA", at positions 1470 to 1796 of the family's 1831-position model. The record is from RNAcentral.
CCCUUAGAUGUUCUGGGCCGCACGCGCGCUACACUGAUGCAUUCAACGAGUCUAAAACCUGCUCUGAUAGGGGUGGGUAAUCUUUUGAAUGUGCAUCGUGAUUGGGAUAGAUGAUUGCAAUUUUUCAUCUUCAACGAGGAAUGCCUAGUAAACGCAAGUCAUCAGCUUGCAUUGAUUACGUCCCUGCCCUUUGUACACACCGCCCGUCGCUCCUACCGAUUGAAUGAUCCGAUGAAUAUCAUGGAUUGAGGAUGCAAGUAGGUUCGCCUAUCUUCAUCUUCUAGAAGUGAAGUAAAUCUUAUCAUUUAGAGGAAGGAGAAGUCGUAACA